AUUGAACGCUGGCGGCAGGCCUAACACAUGCAAGUCGAGCGGAUGAAGGGAGCUUGCUCCUGGAUUCAGCGGCGGACGGGUGAGUAAUGCCUAGGAAUCUGCCUGGUAGUGGGGGAUAACGUCCGGAAACGGGCGCUAAUACCGCAUACGUCCUGAGGGAGAAAGUGGGGGAUCUUCGGACCUCACGCUAUCAGAUGAGCCUAGGUCGGAUUAGCUAGUUGGUGGGGUAAAGGCCUACCAAGGCGACGAUCCGUAACUGGUCUGAGAGGAUGAUCAGUCACACUGGAACUGAGACACGGGCCAGACUCCUACGGGAAGCAGCAGUGGGGAAUAUUAGACAAUGGGCGAAAGCCUGAUCCAGCCAUGCCGCGUGUGUGAAGAAGGUCUUCGGAUUGUAAAGCACUUUAAGUUGGGAGGAAGGGCAGUAAGUUAAUACCUUGCUGUUUUGACGUUACCAACAGAAUAAGCACCGGCUAACUUCGUG
RNAcentral lists this ribosomal RNA (484 nucleotides) under uncultured bacterium. RNAcentral describes it as "partial 16S ribosomal RNA". It matches the Rfam family "Bacterial small subunit ribosomal RNA", at positions 30 to 507 of the family's 1533-position model. The record is from RNAcentral.